Molecule: long non-coding RNA, 13462 nt
Filed under: Citrus x clementina
Lineage: Eukaryota; Viridiplantae; Streptophyta; Magnoliopsida; Sapindales; Rutaceae
Description: Citrus clementina (C. clementina) long non-coding RNA (CCLE_LNC000939)
Source: RNAcentral
AGGAUAAGGAAAAAGCAAAUUCCACACACAUAAGGUUGUAAGAGAAUUGCUCCGACAACUUAUGAUAUAGUAAUAUCAAAUAUUUUUUUAAGUUUUUAAAAGCCUGAACAUUACUUUAAACUUUUUUUUCGAGGGUUGAGGUUUUAAAAAAUACAUACAAAAUAAAAUAGGCAAAACUGUAAAUGUAGUGACUACUACUGCUAUAGUAAGAAAAUCAAUUAUUUAGUCAUAAUAUUUAUUGUUCUACAAUUAGUUGUACAUAUCAUUGAAUUUGUGAAAAUUUGUAGCGUCAAAUGAAUGAAGUUGAAAAAGAUCCUUCAAACCCUUCUUUAAGUGAUUUGAAAGAUAAUUCUGUAUAAAAAAAAAUAGGGUCUUUACAUAUCUUUUAUGAAAGCACUUGGAAAAGGAAUUACUUUUUCAUAAUUAGCCCUCUUAUCACAUAAGGCUACUAUUACAGAUCAAAUGCUAAAGGAUCAAGAUGAAAUGAAGAAAGAAUUAGCACAAUAUGAGAGUUCUUUAAAAAGACGUAGAAAAAAGAGGUAAGUAUAUAAUGAUAAGUCAAUGAAUCUUUCCUCCCAAAAUCAAUUUGAAGCAAAUAUGACAACAUGUGCUAUAUUAGCAAGGGGUCUACACAUAGACCGUAUUAAGGGAAAAUUCAUGUUAUUAGAGAUUAUACUAAUAAAGAGUUUGACCUUGAACAUAACUCAAGAAACAUGCUUGAUGUGUCUUAACGACGCUUGGAAUAUCAUGCAUAUGAUUAAGUCAACAAUGGGGCCUUUAAUUGUGUGAAUAUCUUUGUAAUUAUGAGAUAUAUUUUUAUUCAUUUAGAGCAUGACAUAACUUGUAUAUGUAACAUACAAUUCUAUUUGAAGAAUGCAUCUCAAUUAAUUCUCAUAUUUACUUUUUCUAGAUGGUAUUAGAGCCCUACGCUUCAUGCUUGAAACACGAACCUAAAAUCUCUAUUAAGUCUUUUCAUCAGUUCUCCAACCUUAUUUUUAUCAAUUUAACGAACACCAAUUACCUCAUACAGAAAUCAUAAGUACUCCUACUUAUAAGGAGUUUUUGCUUAGAGUAUCACAUUUAUGAUGUCCUUGUUCCUUCUAGAACCAAUUCUAAAAUGGAAAAGAAGUCACUGAUCCAAAAAUUUCCCAAUGGAAAAAUAAUGAUGGAUUACUCAUGACUUGGCUUAGAGGUAUGAUGUCCGAAGGUGUCUUGACUAUGAUGAUUGGAGUGUUAACUGCAAAUGAAGUAUAAAGAACAAAUGCUGCCUCUAACUAAGGAACAAGAUUCCUAAGUGAAAGAUAGCUUUUAUUCAUUUUAAAAAAAAGUCUCUCAAACUUGAAGACUUCAUAAAAAAUUCAAAGAUAUUUUUUAAGUUGCUCACUCUCUUGGUCCAAUGUAUGCUGAUUUUAAGACAACUAUUGUAGUGAUCAGCAAGUCUUAUAAAGCCAAACUAGACCGUUCAAUGCCCAAGAUACAUGUAAUCAAGUCAAUGCAAGUUGCACUCAUCUAAGAUCUAAACUGAAAUACUACCUAGGCAACCCAAGAGGGGGGGUGAAUUGGGAUAUUAAAAAUUAUUCAAUUUUAAAACAAAACUCAAUGCAAAUCCAAAACUAAUAUAAAGCAAUAACAAAUAAAUCAAUCACAAUAUAAAAAGAUAAAGGAAGAGAGAGCAAACACAAUGAUUUUUAUGUGGUUCGGCAAUCCCUGCCUACGUCCACGCCUCCAAGCUCAUUGGGCUUAAUGAUUUCACUAAGCAAGCCGCCAAGGCUUCAAAUGCUUGCAAUUGACUUCCAAGGUGCCAAUGGACCUUCACAACAAGAGAUUAUCCCCAAGCUCUUAACCUAAGUGUAUCCCAACACUUACAAUCACUCAAAACAAAAGAUUACAAAUUAUUUUUUUCUCACACAAUAUUUAAGAUUACAAAUCAAUGCUCAAUGUGUGAAUAGAUGAAGAAUGAAUGUGUUUAAAGCUCUUUGAAGAAUGAAUGUGUUUAAAGCUCUUUGAAGAUUGUAUUCUCGAAUAUAAGCUCAAUGAUAAUAUUGUGAUCUUGUCUUCUUUGAAUUUGAUUGAGCUUAUUUAUAGUUGGAGUUGAAAACUAGUCGUUAUUGAUUUUCUGCUCACUGUCGGAUCGCCGUUGACUGGUCAAUAUGAUCGUUGGGCUGAAUUUUCAAAUUGUCAGAUCGCCGUUAUCUAGAUGUCGGAUUGUCGUUUUCUACAGUAACUGCUACACUGAACUAUUUUUGUAAAAUUACCGUUUGACCCCAAAACUUUAUAAAAUUAUACUAUGGCCCAAAACUUUAUAAAACUUAUCAAUUAGGUCCAUUUUUAGGAUUUCAAAACUUUUUUUAAUUUAGACCAUUAAUUAAAAAUAACCAAUUUCAUAAAAUCAUUUUUCCAUUAAGUAUAAAAUAUUUAUAUUAUGAAAAUAAUGAUUUAUUUAAAAUAAUUUGAGCUUUAAAAACUUAAUCAUUCUUAAUUUUGUUUGUUAUCAUCAAAAUCAACUUUAUGGAUACAUAUAUGCUAACAUUCUCCCCCUUUUUGAUGAUGACAAACCUUUCAUAUAUUUAAAGAAUGAUUGCACAAAUUGCUCCCCUUAAAUGUAAGCUUCUCUUACAAUUUAGCUAAAUUAACAAAUUUAAAUACAUGUAUUCUUCUCCCUCUCAUCAUCAAAAAGAAAACUUAGUGGAAAAGAAAAAGAGUAGCAAAUUUGUUACCUAUGUUGUCCGAGUAGAAAUUGGGAUAGAUACUCUCCUAACAACAAGCAUCACCUCAAAUACAAGUUUAGUAAUAUUAUUCCUAAAUUAUUAUAAAUCAUAAUACACAGCAUGUAAUCAAAUCAUCAUCAUAUCUCAAAAUCAUCACCAUAAUCACAUAUUAAUCAUCAAAACAAUAUUCAAAAGUCCAUAUUAUUCUCCUCUUUUUGAUAACAUCAAAAUGAUAUAUUACUUUGUCUCCCCUUUUGGACAACAAAAAAGUUCAAAAUGUAUAUUAUCCAAAAUCAUAUUAUAUGCUCCCCUAAAUAUAUGGCCAAUUUAAAAUUUUAACCAAAAUGAUUUUAUCCAAAAACAUAUCAUAUUUAUCUCCCCCUUCAUCAUAAAAAAGAAAAGAUAGAUAGAUGCAAUCGAAACAAGAUCAUAAAAAAUAAUUUGAUGAAGAUAUUACCCAUUUUGUGCGAGCAAAAAUUUCGGCAAAAUCUCCCCUUAAAAAUGAACAAAUCCUCAAAUACACAACAUGGUUAAAAAUACUUCCAUAUAAGCUUAAACAAUUAUAACAAACCAACAACUUCAUCAAUUCAUCAAGCAACACACAUAUAAUCAUUAAUCAUCAAAAUUAUCAAGAAAUCAAUUUUAAUAGUAUUAAUAACAUUAUUAGAGAUAUUAAUAAAUUUCAUCAUCCUAAGUUCAUGCCGAAUUUUUGAAAAUUAUUUUUCGCAAAGAGGUUUUGAUUUGUUUACCCAAUUGACAUGCAAAAGUUAUGAGAACAUAUUAUCAACUAUCCAAGCUCCAUAAUUACUAAUCACAUUUUAGAAAUCAAGACAACUAAAUUCAUCAACGAUCUAAUGUGACAUUUCAAUAGAACUUAAAAAAUAUUAUACGGUUAAAAUUCUCGAAGUAUAUGUAUUUUUUCUUUUUUAUAUCAUUUAAAACAAGUAAGGCAUAUUCAACAAUACAUCGAUAAAGUACAAAAAAUGCAUCCAUUCACUAAUCAUAGAUUGCAUAAGAUCAAAGUUUCAUCAAAUACAUUGUAAUCAUCAAUGCACAUUCUUUAUUAUCAAAACUUAAGUAAAACAUAAGUAUAUAAUGACAAUAUAUGGAUCAUCAAAAUCAACAUAUGGCAAUAUAUAGAUCAUCAAAAUCAACAUUGCUAUUAAGAAAAGUCAUCAUAUAUAUUUAUCCAUGCAUCAUGAUUAUACACAAUAAUAAUUCAAUUAUGUAAACAUAUUAUCAUACUUUCGCAAAUUCAAGCUAUUAUUCAUUUAUCAUGAUCCACUCAACAAAAAAAUAGGCAAGAUAAACUUAUCUACAUCAUGUUAAUGCACUUAAUAUUAUGAUGAAAUAUUAAAUACUUACUAAGAUUAAAAGACCAUCACUUAUAAUCAAUAAUGCAAUAAUUGUUACCAAAACAAUUAAAUCAUCUUGUCUCAUCAUUUUCGCUUAGACAAUGAUCAAGUGAUUAUCCUCAUAAACUUUCAUUAAGGAACUCUCCGUCAUUCCUUGAUUGUGGUACCUACAAAGAAAACAUUCACGUUGUGCCCUUUGGUACCCAAAUACUCUUGGAUCCUUGAGUGUUAAAUUUGGUUCCUUUUGGAACUCAAAUACAUUUGACUCCAUAAUAUACAUUUCUCUUAACUGGACAUCUAAAACUCAUAUGACCAUUUUGAUUGCAAUAAUGACAUACAAUUUGAUCAUUAAUGGAAGCAUUCUUCACAAAGUAGUUCUUAUAAUACUUUUGUUCCAAAUUAGGCUUAUAGCCAAUACCUCCUUUGUCAAACAGACAUUUUUGUGAAUUAAGCAAGUUAUCUAACAUCUUUUGCUCAUUUGUAAAUUUUAAGACAAUCUCAUUUAACUCAUUGCUUUUCUUUUUAAGCACUUCAUUUUCUUUCAUUAACUCAUCAACAUGUGAUUUCUCAUGCUCAUAUGAAGUAUUUUGUUUACAUUUAAAUAAUGCAAUCCUAUCAUGUAACUUUUCAUUAUCUAAUUCCAAUUCUUUGAUCUUUUCAUUUAAUGAAACUUUGCAUUUUUGCAGGGCAUCUUUUUCAUUUUUCAAGUCAUCUACAUGUGAUUCUAGAUGCUUGUGCGAAGUGCUACAUUUCUCAUUUGAUAAUGCAACUUUAUCAUGCAAUGUUUUAUUCUCUAGUUCAAGGCAUAUAAUCUUUGCAUUUAGAGAUUCAUUUUCAUUUGUGAGCUCUACCAUUUUCUUUUUAAGACAUGCAUUCUUUUUACCAAUUUUCAUCCACUCAUCAUGCAAUUCUUUAAACGCAUCAUGUAAUUCAUCAUAAGUAGGAAGAUCGCUUACCUCAUCAACUUCAUCAUUCGAUUCAUCUCCAAUUGCCAUAAGUGCCAAAUUCGACACUUCAUGAGAUUCCUCCUUGUUUGUAGUCUCCUCAUACACAACUUCAAGUUUUCUCCAAAUUUCAUAAGCAUUAGAACAAUUUGAAACUCUAUGAAAUUCCUUUUUAUCUAAGACACAAAAUAAAGCAUUCAUAGCAUUGGAAUUUAAAAACAUAUUUUUCUUAUCUAACUCACUUAAGGCAUUCUUCCUAGGAAUGAAUGAACCAUUACAAACUAUUUUCCAAAUUUCAUAGUCUAAGGCUUGUAAAAAGACUCUCAUCCUAGUUUUCCAAUAAGGAUAGUCAUUACCAUCAAAGAAUGGAGGUCUAGUGGUAGAUUGGCCUUCCAUGAAGGUUAAGCUAAUUUGGGUUGCUAUAGAUCUUUAACUCAAGACGGUUAAGUCUACAUAAGAGCACCUCGCUCUGAUACCAAAUGAAAUACUACCUAGCCAACCCAAGAGGGGGGAUGAAUUCGGAUAUUAAAAAUUAUUCAAUUUUAAAAGAAAACACAAUGCAAAUCCAAAACUAAUAUAAAACAAUAACAAAUAAAUCAAUCACAACAUAAAAAGAUAAGGGAAGAGAGAGCAAACACAAUGAUCUUUACGUGGUUCGGCAAUCCUCACUUACGUCCAUGCCUCCAAGCUCACUGGGCUUGAGGAUUUCACUAAGCAAGCCUCCAAGGCUUCAAAUGCUUACAAUUGACUUCCAAGGUGUCAAUGGACCUUCACAACAAGAGAUUAUCCCCAAUCUCUUAACCCAAGUGUAUCCCAACACUUACAAUCACUCAAAACAAAAGAUUACAAAUUAUUUUUCUCGCACACAAUAUUUAAGAUUACAAAUCAAUGCUCAAUGUGUGAAUAGAUGAAGAACGAAUGUGUUUAAAGCUCUUUGAAGAUUGUAUUCUCAAAUAUAAGCUCAAUGAUAAUAUUGUGAUCUUGUCUUCUUUGAAUUUGAUUGAGUUUAUUUAUAGUUGGAGUUGAAAACUAGUCGUUAUUGACUUUCUGCUCACUGUCGGAUCGCCGUUAACUAGAUGUCGGAUCGCCGUUUUCUACAGUAACUGCUACACUGAACUAUUUUUGUAAAAUUACCGUUUGACCCUAAAACUUUAUAAAAUUAUACUAUGACCUAAAACUUUAUAAAACUUGUCAAUUAGGUCCAUUUUUAGGAUUUCAAAACUUUUUUUAAUUUAGACCAUUAAUUAAAAAUAACCAAUUUCAUAAAAUCAUUUUUCCAUUAAGUAUAAAAUAUUUAUAUUAUGAAAAUAAUGAUUUAUUUAAAAUAAUUUGAGCUUUUAAAAACUUAAUCAUUCUUAAUCUUGUUUGUUAUCAUCAAAAUCAACUUUAUGGAUACAUAUAUGCUAACAAUCUCCCCCUUUUUUAUGAUGACAAACCUUGUAUGUAUUUAAAGAAUGAUUCCACAACUUGCUUCCCCUAAAUGUAAGCUCCCCUUACAAUUUGAGCUUAAAAACUUAAUCAUUCUUAAUCUUGUUUGUUAUCAUCAAAAUCAACCUUAUUAAUACAUAUAUACUAACAUAAACAAAUCAAAUAAUUCAAUAACAAAAGAACAAGAACUUAACCAAGAACAAAGCUGGAACCAAGAACCCACAGAAACCAAGAUUUUACGUGGUUCAGCUGAGCAAGGAAUGCUCAGCUUACAUCCACGGGAGAAGCCUCAAGAUGAGCUUUAUUGAAUCAACAAUGGAGAUUGUUACAGAGCCUUACACCAGACUUUACAGAGAACAAGAUAACACUUCAUCUCACACAAAACCCUCACUACAAGACUCUAGAAUCGUUGCCUAACAUUUCCUUAAAACCAGCCUUUAUACCAUGUUUUGAUAGCUAGCUUAAUUUCCAGAUUGUACAGAUUAUUGACACGUGGUUAAUAACCUUAACGAGCUCGGAACAACCUUCAUCACAUGCUUCCUCACGUGGUUACUUAAGCUGUUAUCCAAAACGCAUUGCGUCCCUGUCAUUUUGUCUAAUUCGUUUUCUGUUAUGAAGCAGCUGAGCAUCACGUGAGCAAAUGAAGCUUUUAUAGUCCCAAAACACAGUCGUUUCUGGAAAGCUUACUUGAUUCACCAUCUCACAAUUCUCCACCUUGAAUCAAAGUAUACCCUCACUCUAACUCCUUCUCCAAAACCUUAUGCAUUUUACCGAUUGCAUAAACCAGCUAGGUCUAGGCAAGCUCUGAACAUAACCACAAGAAUCACCUUUGUAAAAGCAUCUGCAGGAUUCUCAUCAGUGUGGAUCUUUACCAAUUUCAAAGCACCUCUUGAGACUUCAUUCCUAAUGAAAUGAAGCUUAACAUCUAUAUGUUUAGUCUUCUCAUGGUGUGCAGGAUUUUUGCUCAAGUGUAUUACACUUGAGCUGUCACAGUAAACUGACACUGACUUCUGAAUUAAUCCCAAUUCUGUCACCAAUCCCUUGAGCCAAAGUGCUUCUUUUACAGCUUCUGUAGUAGGUGUAUACUCUGCUUCUGUCGUUGAAAGAGCCACUACACUUUGUAAAGUUGCCUUCCAAUUUACAGCACAACCAUUUAAAAUGAAUAUGUAACCUAUAAGAGAUCUCUUUCUAUCUAAAUCCCCUGUAUAAUCUGAGUUAACAUACCCUUUCAAACCCUCACAAUUUGCUUUUGUCUUGCCAUACAUCAUACCACAAUUUACAGUGCCAUUGAGAUACUUGAGUAUCCAUUUUACAGCCUUCCAAUGGACUUUCACAGGUUGUGUCAUAUAUCUGUUGACUACACUGACAACAUGAGAUAUGUCUGGCCUGGUCAAUACCAUUGCAUACAUAAGGCUACCUACGGCAUUUGUAUAAGGCACAUUGGCCAUAUCUUGCUUUUCAGCUUCUGUCUGAGGGCACAGUAAGUUGCUUAACCUGAAAUGUGAAGCUAAGGACAACAGUACAGGCUUAACAUUACUCAUGUCAAAUACUUCCAACACCUUUUUCAAGUAUUUUUCUUGUGAUAGAAACAUGGUGCCUUUACUUUUAUUCAUUCUGAUCUCCAUUCCUAGAAUCUUCCUUGCAUACCCCAAGUCCUUCAUUUUGAAUUCAGAAUUCAGCAGCAUCUUGAGCUUAUAUAUUUCCUCCAUAUCCUUGUAAGCAAUCAACAUGUCAUUUACAUAUAGAAGGAGAUAUAUGUACAGAUCAUCCUUGAUUGUCUUAUAGUAAACACAAUAGUCAUAACUGCAUUUGAUGAACUCAUGUAAUUGUAUGAAUUCAUCAAAUCUGAGGUACCAUUGUCUAGGGGACUAUUUGAGCCUGUAAAGUGACUUCUUCAGUUGACACACAUGGUCUUCUUUACCAGGGAAUACAUACCCUUCAGGCUGGGACAUCGGUAUUUCUUCCUCAAGUCUACCAUGCAGAAAUGUUGUCUUGACAUCGAGUUGAUCAAGCUCUAUGUCUUGCACAACUGUUAUGGCUAAGAUAACUCUAAUUGAGGCAUGUUUAACCACUGGAGAGAACACUUCUUUAAAAUCUAUCCCUUCCUGUUGAGUAUAGCCUUUUGCCAUAAGUCUAGCUUUGAAUCUCCUUGGUUUAGAUCCAUUUAUGCCUUCCUUGAUUUUGAAAAUCCAUUUGCAGUAAACCACUCUUCUAUUUUUAGGUUUUUUGACCAGCUCCUAUGUGUUGUUUUUGUAGAGGGAGGCCAUUUCAUCAUCCAUAGCUUUCUGUCAUUCUUCCUUGAAUAGGCUUUGAGUUGCUUCUUUGAAAUUCUUUAGUUCCUCAUCAUCAAUAUCUUUUGCAGUUGCCAGAGCAAAGCCAAUUAAGUCUACAUAUCCAAAUCUCCUUGUUGGUUUAAUCUGCCUUUUUUUCUCUAUCUCUAGUAAGUUAGUAUUCUUUGAUUUUCACCUAAGAACUUGACUGAUCUUGAGGUAUCUCUGUGUCUUCAAUAGUUUCUAGAACAUCACCUGAAUCUGCAGCUUCAGUUGUGUUUAUGAAAACAGAAGGCUCCACCUCAAACUCUAGUUUAUCUGCUGAUCUGGAGUUAUCAGUUUCCACUUCAAGUGCAUGACUCAUCUUUAUCAAACUCCCCUCAUUAAACACCACAUCUUUGCUUACUAUACAUUUUGGUGGAUUAAGGUCAGUGCACCAAACCUUAAACCCUUUGACUCCUUCUAGAUAGCCUAUGAAAACACCUUUCAAGGUUAUAUGUGCUAGCUUACCUUGACUGACAUGAACAUAGGCUGGACAUCCAAAAGCUUUAAGGAUUCCAUAGUUAGUAGGUUUCCCUGACCACAUUUCAAAGGGUGUUUUAAAAUCAAUUCCAGUUGAGGGGCUUAGGUUGACAAGAUAGCACGCUGUGAGGAAGAUUUAUGCCCACAGUGACUUUAGGAGCUUGGACUGAAUCAACAUACAUCUUACUUUUUCCAUAAGAGUCAUAUUCAUCCUUUUAGCUAACCCAUUUUGUUGUGGGGUCAUCCUUACUGUCCUAUGUCUUGCAAUACCUUCAUUUGUACAAAAGUUGUCAAAUGGUUGGUUGCAAAAUUCAAGACCAUUAUCAGUUAUCAGCUUCUUUAAUCUCUUUUCAGUUUGGUUUUCUACCAACUGUUUCCACUCUUUAAACUUCUCAAAGACCUAAUCCUUGUUCUUUAAACAUACACCUAGACUUUCCUAGAGAAGUUAUCUAUCAUGGAUAAAAAAUACAUAUUCCCUCCCAGAGAUUCACACUGAGCAGGUCCCCAUAAAUCAGAGUGUGCAUAACCCAGCCUCUCAUUUGAUUUCUGACUAAAUCUCUUGAAGCUACUGAUAACUCUAUGAAAUGAGAGUUAUUACAUCCAUUCUAGACUUGAAUAAAGGCCAUUUAGAAAGCAAAUAAUGUGUUUUGAUUACAUUUUGGUGACCUUUUGCAUAAACAUUCAUUUUAGUUAAAUCUUAACAAGUUUUGCUUGAAUGAUAGUAAUUUGUGCUAAAAACUGGUUUUAAUUUGUAGGUUUUAAAUUCAUAAAAGGAUGUGGAGACAUUAGAUGAGAAAGAUGAGGAAAGAAGAUGGCCACAAAAGAAGAAAAGCACAAUCGAAAAUAAUACAGUGCUGUUGCGGAUGUUAAAACAGCCAGUGCUGCAGUAAUCUGGGAGUAACGCGGGAGAAAAUAUAGGCGCGGGUCAGUAAUUAAAUCACAAUCUGCAUGUUUCCUAAUUUAAACACAUGCACGCUCAUGGGCUUUGGCUUUAACCUAAUUUGCAAUAUAUAAAGGAGGCAUGUACCACAUAGAAAGCGGCGGAAGGAAUUAUCAUUCAAAAAAUAAUUAAAAAGGCAAGAAGAAGAAGAAGAUCAAGAUUAAGGAGUGCUAUUCGGCAUCAUUGAAGAAUCGAGGAGGAUCAUUAGUCUUUCAUCGUGCUAAACUCAUAUUAUCUUUCUUCCUUUAAUUGAUUGGAUGUAUUCUGUGAUCAGUAUAUUUAUGUUUAUUUUCUCAUUCAGAAUAUGAACUGAAUUUACUUGUAGUUGAGUGACAAUUAAUCCAAUGGGUUCUUGACUGUUCUUAUAUGUGGUUAUGAUAAUGCCGUAGCAUUAUACUCUAAUAGUUUUUAUGAACAUAAAUGUUAUUUCGGUUGACCACCCAUUUAAUAGUUUCAAUUAAGAUAGAGCAGCAAAAUGGCAUGUCUUAGCGGAUAUUAUUAGAGUAUUACUUGUUCUUAAAUCGAGUUUCCUGGAUUAGGUUAACUUAAAUCUCAUAAGGGCGAUACUUGAAAUUAAGUUUUGUGAUAUCCUAGACAUAGGUGUUCACCUUGUAAGGUAGAGAGAUUAAAGAUCAUAAAGCCAUACCUUAAAUUUAUGAGCAACUGGUCAUUGUUAGUAGAUUUAAGGGUAUGAGAUUUCCAACAUGCGAUAGCUGCGGAUGCAGAUUUGUUCUACUCAAUACUGCAGCACUUAUUAUAACAACUGGUGCUAAUUCGGUAAUCAACAGUCACCCCAUUAGGAGAGUUUGAUCAUUCAACUACUAUAUUCUCAAUUGAAUAUUAGACACAUUUAACUUAGUUUAUUUUAUUACGGUAUUGUUUUAUUUCCAUUCUCUCGCAAUUAUUAGUUACGAUAAAAUUAUUUGGCAAUUGUUGUUUCGGUCUUUAGUUGACUUGCAUUAUUGUGAUUGCUUUAGCAUUUUGAGUAACAUCAAUCCCUGUGGAGACGAUCUUGAACACUCAUCACUUUAUUACUUGUUGUGUAUACUUGUACAUUGGCAUUGAUAAUAAUUGAUUAUAUAAAUCAACCAACAACUACCCCUUGAAGACUUUCCUAGAACACAAUCUUCACAAAACUCUAGAUUACCAAUCUUGUCAGAACCAAACAUCCCUUGUUUCUCUAACUCUUUUAACCCCCUUUCACUCAUGUGCCCUAACCUUAGAUGUUAUAACCUGGUUUUAUCUUCAACAGGCUUAAGAGAUACAUUAGCUACUCUAGAUAUCACCUUACCAUCCAAGAUGUUAACUCCAUUAUUCCUAGUCCCUUCCAUGACCAGAUUUGAACCAUUUAGAACACUCGAUUCUCCAAAUUCAAGCCUAAUUCUACACCUUAUUUAAUCCAGCAUCCCAAGGGAGAUUAUAUUUCUUUUCAAGUCUGGCACAUGCCUGACUUGCUUAAGCACUCUUAUUGAUCCAUCAUGUAGCUUAAGACUUACAUCCUCAAUUCCAAUGAUUCUACAAAUAGAGUUAUUUCUCAUCAUUACUCUACCACCAUCAAAUUCUUGAUAUUCAGUAAAGUAACUUCUAAAAGGGUACAUAUGAAAAGUGCAUCUAGAGUCUAGAACCCAUUUACCUUUUUGGUUGUUUUCUGUUGCCACACAUACACCAGUAGACUCAUACCCUCCCUUUUCUACUACAGCUGCAUCUCCACUCUAGUUUCUUGAAUCUUUGGGCUUGUUUUUCUUCUCAGGGCAAUCCCUUUUAAAAUGGCCUUCUUUGUGACACUGAAAACAUUUCAGAUCUCUAUUUUUGUUAUUUGAUUUCCCUUUCUUCUUCUUCUUGUCAGUUUUCACCUUUACUGUCAGUCAUUCACUUGCACCAUUCUCCAAGUGAACUUGUUUUGUUUGAAGUUCCCUUGUAUUUAAUAUUGAUUUAACCUUAUCAAGUGUCAGUGUUGGUCUUCCAUACAUCAGGGCAUCAACCAAAUUCUCAUAAGAUUUUGGUAAUGAACUGAUUAACAAGAGGGCCUUCCCCUCAUCAUCUAGAGCAGCAUCAAUGGUUUCCAGAGUAUCACAUACUUUGUUAAACUCAUCAAUGUGUUCCUCCAGUGAAGUUCCUUCUAUCAUUUUCAGUGUAAACAUCCUCUUCUUGAUAUAGAGUCUAUUUGCAAGGGACUUGGUCAUGUAAAGACUUUCGAGUUUGCCCCAUAAUCCAGCUACUGUCUUCUCUAAUGACUGAAUCACCAAGACUAAGGAUUAUUGUACUUUUGACCUUUUUGUGAAUUUCAGCAACUUCCUCUAGAGUCUUUGAUGAAGAAACCCUUUUUCCUUCCUUCGUUUCAGGCUCAAUUGCAUCUCCCAAACCCUGCGUGAUCAGUAAAUCUUCCAUAUAUUGAAGUUAUUCUUGCCUAUAAAUUUCUCUAUAUCAAUCUUGGAGGACACAAUACUUGGACUUGAUCACAGAGCACCAGGCUCUGAUACCAAUUGUAGUGAUCAGCAAGUCUUAUAAAGCCAAACAAGACUGAUCACUGUCCAAGAUACAUAUAAUCAAGUCAAUGUAAGUUGCACUAAUCCAAGAUCUAAACAGAUCAAAUAAUUCAAUAACAAAAGAACAAGAACUUAACCAAGAACAAAACUAGAACCAAGAACCCACAGAAACCAAGAUUUUACGUGGUUCAGUUGAGCAAGGAAUGCUCUACUUACAUCUAUGGGAGAAGCCUUAAGAUGAGCUUUAUUGAAUCAACAAUGGAGAUUGUUACAGAGCCUUACACCAGACUUUACAGAGAACAAGAUAACACUUCCUCUCACACAAAACCCUCACUGCAAGACUCUAGAAUCGUUGCCUAACCUUUCCUUAAAACCAACCUUUAUACCAUGUUUUGAUAGCUAGCUUAAUUUCCAGAUUGUACAGAUUGUUGACACGUGGUUAACAACCUUUAACGAACUCGGAACAACCUUCAUCACAUGCUUCCUCACGUGGUUACUUAAGCUCCAAAACGCGCAGUGUCCCUGUCGUUUUGUUUAAUUCAUUUUCUGUUAUGAAGCAAUUGAGCAUCACGUGAGCAAAUGAAGCUUUUAUAGUCCCAAAACGCAGUCGUUUCUGGAAAGACAUAUCAUAAUCUAAUUUUUGUAUUUUCUUAAGUAUCAAAGACUUAGGUGUCGUUUGUUUUUUUGUCUGAAAUCUGAAUAGACCUGAAUUAAUCUGAAUUUUGAAUAGGUCUGAAUGUCUGAAUCUGAAUAAUAUGUUUGUUUUUUCGUCUGAAUCUCGGAAAAUAAAUAUUAAGUUGUUUGUUUUU